RNAcentral lists this ribosomal RNA (272 nucleotides) under uncultured bacterium. RNAcentral's name for it is "partial 16S ribosomal RNA". It matches the Rfam family "Bacterial small subunit ribosomal RNA", at positions 524 to 796 of the family's 1533-position model. The record is from RNAcentral.
UACGUAGGGGGCAAGCGUUGUCCGGAAUUAUUGGGCGUAAAGCGCGCGCAGGCGGUUUCUUAAGUCUUGUGUUUAAUCCCGGGGCUCAACCUCGGUUCGCAUGGGAAACUGGGAAACUGGAGUGCAGGAGAGGAAAGUGGAAUUCCACGUGUAGCGGUGAAAUGCGUAGAGAUGUGGAGGAACACCAGUGGCGAAGGCGACUUUCUGGCCUGUAACUGACGCUGAGGCGCGAAAGCGUGGGGAGCAAACAGGAUUAGAAACCCCCGUAGUCC